CUGACUUUGAGUUUCUCCUCAGGGCACUACAGGCAAAGCCGGGGACCCAGGGAGAGACGUAAGUGAAGGGAGCU
This is a microRNA precursor of Loxodonta africana (African savanna elephant), 74 nucleotides long. Lineage: Eukaryota; Metazoa; Chordata; Mammalia; Proboscidea; Elephantidae. The record is from Ensembl.